Molecule: ribosomal RNA, 557 nt
Filed under: Debaryomyces hansenii
Lineage: Eukaryota; Fungi; Ascomycota; Pichiomycetes; Serinales; Debaryomycetaceae
Description: eukaryotic LSU rRNA
Rfam family: Eukaryotic large subunit ribosomal RNA
Source: RNAcentral
ACGCGGCAAAAGCUCAAAUUUGAAAUCUGGCACCUUCGGUGUCCGAGUUGUAAUUUGAAGAAGGUAACUUUGGAGUUGGCUCUUGUCUAUGUUCCUUGGAACAGGACGUCACAGAGGGUGAGAAUCCCGUGCGAUGAGAUGCCCAAUUCUAUGUAAAGUGCUUUCGAAGAGUCGAGUUGUUUGGGAAUGCAGCUCUAAGUGGGUGGUAAAUUCCAUCUAAAGCUAAAUAUUGGCGAGAGACCGAUAGCGAACAAGUACAGUGAUGGAAAGAUGAAAAGAACUUUGAAAAGAGAGUGAAAAAGUACGUGAAAUUGUUGAAAGGGAAGGGCUUGAGAUCAGACUUGGUAUUUUGCGAUCCUUUCCUUCUUGGUUGGGUUCCUCGCAGCUUACUGGGCCAGCAUCGGUUUGGAUGGUAGGAUAAUGACUAAGGAAUGUGGCUCUACUUCGGUGGAGUGUUAUAGCCUUGGUUGAUACUGCCUGUCUAGACCGAGGACUGCGUCUUUGACUAGGAUGUUGGCAUAAUGAUCUUAAGCCACCCGUCUUGAAACACGGACCCA